AAAGUCGUAACAAGGUUUCCGUAGGUGAACCUGCGGAAGGAUCAUUAACACGUAUCCAACGUUCAAAACUCCCCGUGAACAUUGACCCGUUGUGCCCUGCCCCUAAUUGCCCUAAAAAAGCAUUCCCAGACGAAGGCCAUAGCAGCAAUCCCUGUACUCCGUCGCUGAACAUGGAAGGAGAAGGGACCUCUGUUCGCCAGGGUCGCGCAGGCUUAAGCACGCAAGUCAGCUGUCGGUUUUUUUCCCCAAGCAAUCAGUGAGUGUCAGUGCACUGAUUGUGUAAGGAGUUCGCUUUACGAUCACUGGAGGCCGCUCACCGGCCGGUGGACUAACUGACUGGUCGCAAGAUCCUUAGGGACCCCACUUUAUAUUGCCGCUCCGCGCUAACAACGCCGGGCAUUAAAAAACGUACUAAACAACUGUUAACAAUGGAUAUCUUGGUUCUC
RNAcentral lists this unclassified non-coding RNA (446 nucleotides) under Ascomycota sp. RNAcentral describes it as "partial contains small subunit ribosomal RNA, internal transcribed spacer 1, and 5.8S ribosomal RNA". The stretch from base 1 to 47 matches the Rfam family "Eukaryotic small subunit ribosomal RNA", at positions 1785 to 1831 of the family's 1831-position model. Lineage: Eukaryota; Fungi; Ascomycota. The record is from RNAcentral.